This 484-nucleotide ribosomal RNA is filed under the name uncultured bacterium. RNAcentral describes it as "partial 16S ribosomal RNA". It matches the Rfam family "Bacterial small subunit ribosomal RNA", at positions 30 to 507 of the family's 1533-position model. The record is from RNAcentral.
AUUGAACGCUGGCGGAAUGCUUUACACAUGCAAGUCGAACGGCAGCACGGGGGCAACCCUGGUGGCGAGUGGCGAACGGGUGAGUAAUACAUCGGAACGUGCCCGGUCGUGGGGGAUAACGUAGCGAAAGUUACGCUAAUACCGCAUACGAUCUGAGGAUGAAAGCGGGGGACCUUCGGGCCUCGCGCGAUCGGAGCGGCCGAUGUCAGAUUAGGUAGUUGGUGGGGUAAAGGCCUACCAAGCCGACGAUCUGUAGCUGGUCUGAGAGGACGACCAGCCACACUGGGACUGAGACACGGCCCAGACUCCUACGGGAGGCAGCAGUGGGGAUUUUUGGACAAUGGGCGCAAGCCUGAUCCAGCCAUUCCGCGUGCAGGACGAAGGCCUUCGGGUUGUAAACUGCUUUUGUAUGGAACGAAAAGGCUCUGGCUAAUACCUGGGGCUCAUGACGGUACCGUAAGAAUAAGCACCGGCUAACUACGUG